UAUUCUCCUAGUAUUAAUCAGUACAACUGACUUCCAAUCAUUUAGUCUCAGUAAAAAUCUGAGGGAGAAUAA
This 72-nucleotide transfer RNA is filed under the name Sorex araneus (European shrew). RNAcentral describes it as "tRNA-Gly". It matches the Rfam family "tRNA". From Rfam's summary of the family: Transfer RNA (tRNA) molecules are approximately 80 nucleotides in length. The record is from RNAcentral. Lineage: Eukaryota; Metazoa; Chordata; Mammalia; Eulipotyphla; Soricidae.